Long non-coding RNA from Astyanax mexicanus (Mexican tetra), 573 nucleotides. RefSeq lists it as uncharacterized. The transcript has 3 exons. Lineage: Eukaryota; Metazoa; Chordata; Actinopteri; Characiformes; Acestrorhamphidae. The record is from RefSeq and is a predicted model, not a curated record.
UUAGAUUUAAGGUUUAGGUUAAGUUUUGGAUUAGGGUUAAGUUUUAGGAUUGAUUAAUGGUUGAGGUUGGGUUCAGGGUUAGAUUUAAGGUUUAUGUUAAGUUUUGGAUCAGGGAUACAUUUUAAUGGUUGAGGUUGGGUUCAGGGUUAGAUUUAAGGUUUAUGUUAAGUUUUGGAUCAGGGAUACAUUUUAAUGGUUGAGGUUGGGUUCAGGGUUAGAUUUAAGGUUUAUGUUAAGUUUUGGAUCAGGGAUAAGUUUUAAUGGUUGAGGUUGGGUUCAGGGUUAGAUUUAAGGUUUAGGUUAAGUUUUGGAUUAGGGUUAAGUUUUAGGAUUGAUUAAUGGUUGAGGUUGGGUUCAGGGUUAGAUUUAAGGUUUAUGUUAAGUUUUGGAUCAGGGAUAAGUUUUAAUGGUUGAGGUUGGGUUCAGGAUUAGAUUUAAGGUUUAGGUUAAGUUUUGUAUCAGAGUUGGUUUUUAUUGUUGAUUCUUGUUUGAGGUUAGGUUUUGGAGUUUAGGGUUGAUCCAUGGUUAAGGUUAGGCUUAGGGUUAAAGUUAGAUGCAGAGUUAGAUUCUAUA